Long non-coding RNA from Dermochelys coriacea (leatherback sea turtle), 303 nucleotides. RefSeq lists it as uncharacterized. The record is from RefSeq and is a predicted model, not a curated record. The transcript is spliced from 3 exons. NCBI's taxonomy places the organism in Eukaryota, Metazoa, Chordata, Testudines, Dermochelyidae.
UCAGAGCUUCCUGUAUAAGGCGCUAGGAAUGUCCUUAGCAGUUUGUGAGGACCUGGUCCAUGUGAAAUCACAGAUUCAUACACUUCUGACAACAACAGAUUAUAUGGAAGCCCCUGAGAGACAGGGAGUCAUUUCCAUCCUCGCAGUCUGUGCUGACCGCCACUUGGACCUCACCUUGAACGCACUUCAGGAGUUUGGGGCUGCAAUGAGCAAGGUUAAGAUUUCUGGGUUCAUCAGCCACCUGAAAGACUACCACCAUGGGACAAGAGGCAAGACUCGCAGCACCCUGAUGCUGACAUACAG